This 2931-nucleotide ribosomal RNA is filed under the name Escherichia coli. RNAcentral's name for it is "23S ribosomal RNA". It matches the Rfam family "Bacterial large subunit ribosomal RNA". The record is from RNAcentral. Lineage: Bacteria; Pseudomonadati; Pseudomonadota; Gammaproteobacteria; Enterobacterales; Enterobacteriaceae.
GGGUUGUGAGGUUAAGCGACUAAGCGUACACGGUGGAUGCCCUGGCAGUCAGAGGCGAUGAAGGACGUGCUAAUCUGCGAUAAGCGUCGGUAAGGUGAUAUGAACCGUUAUAACCGGCGAUUUCCGAAUGGGGAAACCCAGUGUGAUUCGUCACACUAUCAUUAACUGAAUCCAUAGGUUAAUGAGGCGAACCGGGGGAACUGAAACAUCUAAGUACCCCGAGGAAAAGAAAUCAACCGAGAUUCCCCCAGUAGCGGCGAGCGAACGGGGAGCAGCCCAGAGCCUGAAUCAGUGUGUGUGUUAGUGGAAGCGUCUGGAAAGGCGCGCGAUACAGGGUGACAGCCCCGUACACAAAAAUGCACAUACUGUGAGCUCGAUGAGUAGGGCGGGACACGUGGUAUCCUGUCUGAAUAUGGGGGGACCAUCCUCCAAGGCUAAAUACUCCUGACUGACCGAUAGUGAACCAGUACCGUGAGGGAAAGGCGAAAAGAACCCCGGCGAGGGGAGUGAAAAAGAACCUGAAACCGUGUACGUACAAGCAGUGGGAGCACGCUUAGGCGUGUGACUGCGUACCUUUUGUAUAAUGGGUCAGCGACUUAUAUUCUGUAGCAAGGUUAACCGAAUAGGGGAGCCGAAGGGAAACCGAGUCUUAACUGGGCGUUAAGUUGCAGGGUAUAGACCCGAAACCCGGUGAUCUAGCCAUGGGCAGGUUGAAGGUUGGGUAACACUAACUGGAGGACCGAACCGACUAAUGUUGAAAAAUUAGCGGAUGACUUGUGGCUGGGGGUGAAAGGCCAAUCAAACCGGGAGAUAGCUGGUUCUCCCCGAAAGCUAUUUAGGUAGCGCCUCGUGAAUUCAUCUCCGGGGGUAGAGCACUGUUUCGGCAAGGGGGUCAUCCCGACUUACCAACCCGAUGCAAACUGCGAAUACCGGAGAAUGUUAUCACGGGAGACACACGGCGGGUGCUAACGUCCGUCGUGAAGAGGGAAACAACCCAGACCGCCAGCUAAGGUCCCAAAGUCAUGGUUAAGUGGGAAACGAUGUGGGAAGGCCCAGACAGCCAGGAUGUUGGCUUAGAAGCAGCCAUCAUUUAAAGAAAGCGUAAUAGCUCACUGGUCGAGUCGGCCUGCGCGGAAGAUGUAACGGGGCUAAACCAUGCACCGAAGCUGCGGCAGCGACGCUGAUGCGUUGUUGGGUAGGGGAGCGUUCUGUAAGCCUGCGAAGGUGUGCUGUGAGGCAUGCUGGAGGUAUCAGAAGUGCGAAUGCUGACAUAAGUAACGAUAAAGCGGGUGAAAAGCCCGCUCGCCGGAAGACCAAGGGUUCCUGUCCAACGUUAAUCGGGGCAGGGUGAGUCGACCCCUAAGGCGAGGCCGAAAGGCGUAGUCGAUGGGAAACAGGUUAAUAUUCCUGUACUUGGUGUUACUGCGAAGGGGGGACGGAGAAGGCUAUGUUGGCCGGGCGACGGUUGUCCCGGUUUAAGCGUGUAGGCUGGUUUUCCAGGCAAAUCCGGAAAAUCAAGGCUGAGGCGUGAUGACGAGGCACUACGGUGCUGAAGCAACAAAUGCCCUGCUUCCAGGAAAAGCCUCUAAGCAUCAGGUAACAUCAAAUCGUACCCCAAACCGACACAGGUGGUCAGGUAGAGAAUACCAAGGCGCUUGAGAGAACUCGGGUGAAGGAACUAGGCAAAAUGGUGCCGUAACUUCGGGAGAAGGCACGCUGAUAUGUAGGUGAAGUCCCUCGCGGAUGGAGCUGAAAUCAGUCGAAGAUACCAGCUGGCUGCAACUGUUUAUUAAAAACACAGCACUGUGCAAACACGAAAGUGGACGUAUACGGUGUGACGCCUGCCCGGUGCCGGAAGGUUAAUUGAUGGGGUCAGCGCAAGCGAAGCUCUUGAUCGAAGCCCCGGUAAACGGCGGCCGUAACUAUAACGGUCCUAAGGUAGCGAAAUUCCUUGUCGGGUAAGUUCCGACCUGCACGAAUGGCGUAAUGAUGGCCAGGCUGUCUCCACCCGAGACUCAGUGAAAUUGAACUCGCUGUGAAGAUGCAGUGUACCCGCGGCAAGACGGAAAGACCCCGUGAACCUUUACUAUAGCUUGACACUGAACAUUGAGCCUUGAUGUGUAGGAUAGGUGGGAGGCUUUGAAGUGUGGACGCCAGUCUGCAUGGAGCCGACCUUGAAAUACCACCCUUUAAUGUUUGAUGUUCUAACGUUGACCCGUAAUCCGGGUUGCGGACAGUGUCUGGUGGGUAGUUUGACUGGGGCGGUCUCCUCCUAAAGAGUAACGGAGGAGCACGAAGGUUGGCUAAUCCUGGUCGGACAUCAGGAGGUUAGUGCAAUGGCAUAAGCCAGCUUGACUGCGAGCGUGACGGCGCGAGCAGGUGCGAAAGCAGGUCAUAGUGAUCCGGUGGUUCUGAAUGGAAGGGCCAUCGCUCAACGGAUAAAAGGUACUCCGGGGAUAACAGGCUGAUACCGCCCAAGAGUUCAUAUCGACGGCGGUGUUUGGCACCUCGAUGUCGGCUCAUCACAUCCUGGGGCUGAAGUAGGUCCCAAGGGUAUGGCUGUUCGCCAUUUAAAGUGGUACGCGAGCUGGGUUUAGAACGUCGUGAGACAGUUCGGUCCCUAUCUGCCGUGGGCGCUGGAGAACUGAGGGGGGCUGCUCCUAGUACGAGAGGACCGGAGUGGACGCAUCACUGGUGUUCGGGUUGUCAUGCCAAUGGCACUGCCCGGUAGCUAAAUGCGGAAGAGAUAAGUGCUGAAAGCAUCUAAGCACGAAACUUGCCCCGAGAUGAGUUCUCCCUGACCCUUUAAGGGUCCUGAAGGAACGUUGAAGACGACGACGUUGAUAGGCCGGGUGUGUAAGCGCAGCGAUGCGUUGAGCUAACCGGUACUAAUGAACCGUGAGGCUUAACCUUACAACGCCGAAGGUGUUU